RNAcentral lists this ribosomal RNA (301 nucleotides) under uncultured bacterium. Its description in RNAcentral is "partial 16S ribosomal RNA". It matches the Rfam family "Bacterial small subunit ribosomal RNA", at positions 509 to 808 of the family's 1533-position model. The record is from RNAcentral.
CAGCCGCCGCGGUAAUACGUAGGUCCCGAGCGUUGUCCGGAUUUAUUGGGCGUAAAGCGAGCGCAGGCGGUUAGAUAAGUCUGAAGUUAAAGGCUGUGGCUUAACCAUAGUACGCUUUGGAAACUGUUUAACUUGAGUGCAAGAGGGGAGAGUGGAAUUCCAUGUGUAGCGGUGAAAUGCGUAGAUAUAUGAAGGAACACCGGUGGCGAAAGCGGCUCUCUGGCUUGUAACUGACGCUGAGGCUCGAAAGCGUGGGGAGCAAACAGGAUUAGAUACCCCUGUAGUCCCUGUCUCUUAUACA